RNAcentral lists this ribosomal RNA (428 nucleotides) under Klebsiella pneumoniae. Its description in RNAcentral is "partial 23S ribosomal RNA". It matches the Rfam family "Bacterial large subunit ribosomal RNA", at positions 2374 to 2801 of the family's 2925-position model. Lineage: Bacteria; Pseudomonadati; Pseudomonadota; Gammaproteobacteria; Enterobacterales; Enterobacteriaceae. RNAcentral also lists the same sequence under 1 other name. The record is from RNAcentral.
UGCGAGCGUGACGGCGCGAGCAGGUGCGAAAGCAGGUCAUAGUGAUCCGGUGGUUCUGAAUGGAAGGGCCAUCGCUCAACGGAUAAAAGGUACUCCGGGGAUAACAGGCUGAUACCGCCCAAGAGUUCAUAUCGACGGCGGUGUUUGGCACCUCGAUGUCGGCUCAUCACAUCCUGGGGCUGAAGUAGGUCCCAAGGGUAUGGCUGUUCGCCAUUUAAAGUGGUACGCGAGCUGGGUUUAGAACGUCGUGAGACAGUUCGGUCCCUAUCUGCCGUGGGCGCUGGAGAAUUGAGGGGGGCUGCUCCUAGUACGAGAGGACCGGAGUGGACGCAUCACUGGUGUUCGGGUUGUCAUGCCAAUGGCACUGCCCGGUAGCUAAAUGCGGAAGAGAUAAGUGCUGAAAGCAUCUAAGCACGAAACUUGCCCCG